RNAcentral lists this long non-coding RNA (2107 nucleotides) under Ornithorhynchus anatinus (platypus). RNAcentral's name for it is "lncRNA (ENSOANG00000041782.1)". Lineage: Eukaryota; Metazoa; Chordata; Mammalia; Monotremata; Ornithorhynchidae. The record is from RNAcentral.
CCCGCGCCGCCCCCGCGCCGCCCCGAGCCCCCACCUCCCGAGCGGCCGGCCCGCCGGCGGGCCCUCCGCAAACUUUGGCUCAUCCCUUGAAUUGACCUCGGCGGGGGGGAGGGUCGGGAAGACCUUCCGGGCCCCCCCCCCGUCGAACCCCGCCCCCGGCCCCCCCCCGCUGCGGCCUUGACCCGACCCCCCCUCCCCCCCCCGGCCGACCCCCGGGGGGUCCGGGGGACCCCGGGGGCCCGUCCCGGUUCCCGUUGGGUCCUUCCGUGCCCGCACCCCCGUGCUGCCCUAAGGGGGACCGAGGGAGAGGUUGGCACCGUCGGGGGGGGGGGGGGGCGCCCCUUUGCCCCCCCCCUUUGGGUGACCCGUCCGUCCCCCCUCGGCGACCCGUCCGUCUCCCCUCGAUGACCCGUCCGUUUUCCCCGAGUGACCCGCUGCUCUCCGUCCCCGUCCAGGUACCGGUUCCGGCGGACGCCGCCCGGCCGGCCGAGGAGCCCCCCCCCCCCCCCUGCCGCCCGGCCGGUAGGGCCGGCCUCCGCCUCCGUCUUUCACCCUCCGUCGCCGGCGACGUCCUCCUCCUCCUCCUCCUGGUCCUCGGCCUCCAUCUCCUCGGCCUCGACGCCCUCCUCUGCAGGCCCCCGGCCGGGCCGGGGGAGGACGGAGAUGGGCCGACCGGUCCCGGAGGUGGCAGCCCGUCCGUCGCCCCUCCCCGCCCCGGGCCGGCUCGGGCAGGGGGUGGGGCAGGUCGAGCCCGGGGAGGGGCUUCCGUAGGUCGGCGGCUCGAGGCGGGGGGCUCAAGGCAGGGUCGGGGAGGCCCCCCGCGCCCCGGGAGGACAGGGCUCCGUCCUCCCUCGUCGGCACGGCGGAAAGAGUAAGCGACGGCGGUGAUGGGAGUAACAGGAGAGAAGCGGCACGGCCCAGCGGCCAGAGCCCGGGCCUGGGAGGCCGAAGGUCACGGGUUCUGAUCCCGCCUCCGCCGCCCGUCCGCCGUGUGAUCUCGGGCGAGUCACUCGGCUUCUCCGGGCUUCGUCUCCCUCACCUGUCGAAGGGGGGUGAAGACCGUGAGCCCCGCGGGGGACGACCCGACGACCUUGUGACUACAGCAGCGCUUAGAACAGUGUUGGGCACGGAGUAGGCGCUCAACUAAAACCAUGUUACCGAGCAGAGGAACAGCCCGGCCUGGGAGUCAGAGCUCCGCCGCUUGUCCGCUGGGGCAAGUCGCUUGACUUCUCUGGGCUCUGACAGUUCCCUCAGCUGUAAGAAAUGGGGACGGAGACUACGAGCCCCCCGUGGGACGGGGACCGCGUCCAUCCUGAUUAGCUCGCAUCUACCUCGGCGCUUAGAACAGUGCUCGGCACACGGUAAGCGCUUAGCGAGUAUUAUCGUUAGUACCGACGGUGCUCGGCAGUCCAGUGCCGUUUUAGAAAACUAAUCUCGGUUGCCGUUCCCGGGCUCGGUGUCUGAAAGGGUUCCGGGGGAAGGACUAGUCCAUUCCCUGCCCGCGCGAGGUUGCCGUCCAUUCGUUCCUUCGUAUUUAUUGAGCGCUCGCUGCGCGCAGAGCGCUGGACUGAGCACUUGGUUGAGUAGAGGAGAACAGUAAGCAGCCACAUUCCCUGCCCACAACGAGCUUUUCACUCCACGGCGCGGAAACGAGGGCGGGCAGAGUUAUCCGAACGAGUCACUGCCUGCCGUGCGGUCGGUCCGGCGUGAUAAUAGUGUCGAUAUCUGUUAAGCGCUUACUGUGCGCUCAGCACCGUUCUAAGCGCCGGGGCGGAUACAGAGUCGUCAGGUUGUCCCGCGUGAGGCUCCAUCCCCAUUUGACGGAUGGGGUCACCGAGGCUCCGAGAAGUGAAGCGACUUGCCCGGAGCCGGCAUCAGAACCCAUGACCUCCGACCCCUAAGCCCGGGCUCCUUCCACUGAGACACGCCGCGUCGUACCUAUUGAGCUCUUACCGUGUGCAGAGCACCGUGCUGAGCGGUCGGGGCAGUACGGUGGAGCCCGCUCCCUGCCCUCCCGGAGCCGGGAGUCACCAAGGGGCGAGGUGACGGGGAAGCGCUGGGCUGGCGGGAGUGACGGGGAGAAGGGGCAGGCGAGGAGAUGAAAGGC